RNAcentral lists this ribosomal RNA (487 nucleotides) under uncultured bacterium. RNAcentral's name for it is "bacterial SSU rRNA". It matches the Rfam family "Bacterial small subunit ribosomal RNA", at positions 1 to 534 of the family's 1533-position model. The record is from RNAcentral.
UAGUGAGUUUGAUCCUGGCUCAGGAUGAACGCUGGCGGUAUGCUUAACACAUGCAAGUCGAACGGGUGUUUUCGGACAUUAGUGGCGGACGGGUGAGUAACGCGUGAGAAUCUAGCUUCAGGUUGGGGACAACAGUGGGAAACGACUGCUAAUACCCGAUAAGCCGAAAGGUGAAAGAUUAAUUGCCAGAAGAAGAGCUCGCGUCUGAUUAGCUAGUUGGAGAUGUAAAGGCUCACCAAGGCAUCGAUCAGUAGCUGGUCUGAGAGGACGAUCAGCCACACUGGGACUGAGACACGGCCAGACUCCUACGGGAGGCAGCAGUGGGGAAUUUCCGCAAUGGGGCGAAAGCCUGACGGAGCAAGACCGCGUGAGGGAGGAAGGCUCUUGGGGUUGUAAACCUCUUUUAGUCAGGGAAGAAGAAAGUGACGGUACCUGAAGAAUCAGCAUCGGCUAACUCCGUGCCAGCAGCCGCGGUAAUCUGAUGGCG